Molecule: long non-coding RNA, 487 nt
Filed under: Helianthus annuus (common sunflower)
Lineage: Eukaryota; Viridiplantae; Streptophyta; Magnoliopsida; Asterales; Asteraceae
Description: hypothetical non coding rna
Source: RNAcentral
UUCCAUGAUAACAUAGUAAAUGAAAAAAACAAAUCAUCAGAUUCACAUCCCAAAUGUAUGGCUACGAUUAUUGAGUAAACCUUGCGAAUAAAAGACCACCGGAGUUCCGGCGACUCCGUCAUCGGACCACAACUUCAUGUCGCGAUGUGGUGGAGGAGGGUUUGAGCAGAUCUAGAAGUCGAUCAACCGUGAUUUUAUUGAAUCUGCUGGAAGAACCCACCGGAUCUCCAAAGAAUCGUUAUCUCCGGCGACGGUUAAGCAGCCGGAGAUCGGCGUCGUCGCUGCCGGUGAAUGUGCCGAACUGACAUCGAUGAUGAUGAUGAGGAGGAUGAUUGUAGCGUUGGUUAACCGGUGAGUUGAAUCGCCGGGGGAAGAUUCUCGGGUAAGAGAUUGUUAUGCGCGACGGUAGGAACCGUGGCCGGUGAUAAUUGUGUUAGUAGGCUACGUGUAUUAAUUAAUGUUAAAUUCAUAUGACAAUCUUGUCUAG